This 271-nucleotide ribosomal RNA is filed under the name uncultured archaeon. Its description in RNAcentral is "partial 16S ribosomal RNA". It matches the Rfam family "Archaeal small subunit ribosomal RNA", at positions 477 to 747 of the family's 1478-position model. The record is from RNAcentral.
CGGCGCCACAAGUGGCAUCCAUAUUUAUUUGGCCUAAAGCGUCCGUAGCUGGUUUGAUUAAUCUUUUGUGAAAUUGUUGAGCUCAACUCAACAGCGUGCAGAAGACACUAUCAAACUUGGAACCGGGAGGAGUCGAAGGUAUUCCUUGGGGAGCGGUAAAAUGCUAUAAUCCUUGGAAGACCACCUGUGGCGAAGGCGUUCGACUAGAACGGAUUCGACAGUGAGGGACGAAAGCCAGGGGAGCGAUCCGGAUUAGAUACCCGAGUAGUCC